GGGUGGGUUUCAGCUCCCACUUGUUUUUUUGGUCAGGUUCCCCAAGAAACAGACUCGGGAUUUGCAUGCAGGAGUCUUAUUGGGGAACGCUUUCAGGAACUACCACCCCGUAUGGGAGCGAGAGAAGCAGGACUGUGCAGAAGGAGAAGUUGAACAACUCCUGGAAAGCUCUGAAGCUGGGAUCAUCCUUCCAGAAUGUCUUGGAUUGAGACAAGGGCCUUAUCUUGUACAAGAUUCAUGUGUUGGUGAGCUCAUUUCCACCAGAACUCAGCCCAGGCUGCUGUGGGAUGGAAUCACCUGCACCCGGAUGUUCUUUCUGGGCUGGUACAUACAGGUUCUAUGGGUCUGGAAUUCAGAUGGGGUACAGCAGGGAAGCUUUGUCUCUGCUCCACAGCAUAUGGGCCUCAGCUGGAAGAUUCGAAGGCUGAAGUACUUUAAUCAGCAUUUAAUGACCCAGUCGAAAAUUCAUUGUUUGGACCCAAGCACUGGUGGGAAAGGCAGGAGGGGAGGCCUGCCUUCCUUCCUCCCUCCCGAGCCCUACAGCAGGCCAUGGAGUGGUGAGCGAGUUCGUACAGUGCCAACCACAUUCCCAGAAACUUCCAGCAGAGGUUAAUCCUGCUCCUCUCAGGUGGGCUUGGCCCAUUCUCUAGACUUUGGAAGGUAAUGUUCUAUAGAGGCCUGUUCUGAAGCUUUACCAGGUCAAACCGGAGAAGAACCCAACAAGUAACUCAUCCCAGCCUAACUAUUCUUCAAGGGCAAUCAACCUACAGCAUCCAAGCACAGAGAAAUCAAAUCCAUGGAGAAUCUUCAAAUUAGGCUCAGAAUCCAUUUGGGUCAAUGAAUUUACUGUUAUUAAGA
Molecule: long non-coding RNA, 858 nt
Organism: Homo sapiens (human)
Lineage: Eukaryota; Metazoa; Chordata; Mammalia; Primates; Hominidae
Gene: ZNF503-AS1
Product: ZNF503 antisense RNA 1
Source: Ensembl